GUUGUUGCGGGAUCUCACAGGCUUUAAACCGCGGCGCCGCGGCGCCCGGGUGUGGAUCCCUAGAUGGGAGCCGGGGAUGGGCCGGGUGCCUGGUGGGUGGCAGUCGGGGCUGACGGCGGCGGCACUUUGCCGCCUCAGGCCCUGGACACCUUCACCCCGCCGCCUGCCCAGGCGGGCCGGCCCUGCCCGUCCACCGGCCGCCGAGAGUCCCCGGCCUUGGGUCCCCGGGGCCGCUGACUGGCCUCGGUCACCUCCCGGGGAAGGCUCCCGCGCCUCCAUCUGCCCCCGCAGGAAGGGACCCUCUUCUCGCCCGCGAGGCUUCUCCGGGUGGGAUCGUCCUGGCCCCCAGCCCUAAGGGAUCCGCCCCCUCCGAGCAUCCGCCGCCCCUCGGAGACCACUCCAGCUCGGACGGACCCACUCCAGCCCCCGCUGCACGCGGAAGCGCUCAUCCUCCCCGCCUGCCCCGUUCCCUCCCCCUUCUCCUGUGGGACAACCAGGGACCGCAGCUCCCCGCUCCCCAGGUGUGGGGGCUCCGACACGAACGCCUCUGCUCGCAGGGCGGUGAGCGCAGAUCCCACGGGUCCCUCGGUCGGGGGUCGAGGCUGCUUCCGUUUCCAUCCCGGACCCGACAAUGGGCGGGAAAAAGAAGGCUUUACACGACUACGCGGCGGAGUUCACCGACCUGGUGGUGAAGCACCUGAUUGAGCACAGUGACUCUGGGGACACGUCUGUGGUGGAGACCCUUUACUGCAGGGCCUGCGAGCUGCCCGUGCGCGUGCGGAGGGACCGCAUCCUGGAACACCUGUCCUCGGGCAGGCAGCACGGCCUGCGGACGCCCAUUCUCAUGUAAAUGUCAGUGCCAACGCUGGUGUUUCAGGAGUCAUCCCAGCGGGCUGCGGGCUAUUUUAGGAUUCUCUGCCCUGCAAACGUUUCCAAAGUACGUGGACAGGCCGCCUGAUGACACUACGUUUACGGGAUCUGCUAGUGGCUUGCCUACUUAGGGAGUAAACCCUGUGAAGUCUCGCAGUUUUGUUAAAGUGUGCGUGGCCACCUGAAUGCUGCCUUAUCACAAGCCAGAUACAUACUGGUCUGUAGGGUAACUCCCCACUGUUGAUCCUCUGAGAUGAUUGUGGACUGGGUGCUGUGAGUCCUGCCACUUUGUUUAAGUGAAUGUGUCUUUUGUCCAGCUCAGCCGCCUCGGAUCUCGCUGCCACCAGCCUUACUGCACACCCGUGCCACCCGCCCUUGCCCCGUCAGCCUCAGCCUCAGCUCAUUCUCUCAGGCAGUCCCAGCAUUGGCACGGUACCUCCUCCCGCUGUGGGCCACACGUCUCUGCUCCCUGUCAACCCUCCUGCCAUCAGCACCACCACCAGCGACUUGUCUGCCCGGGAGGAUGCAACACCAUCUGCCUCCACCGGCCACCUUUCAGUGUUUCCUGCUUUCCAAGUAAAGAUACCAGCAGUGCCCUCAGAGCAGACCAGCCAGAGUUUUUCUGAAGCCUCCCACAGGGUGCUCCCCGGAGGAGGCCCGAGAUGCUCUCGUGACUUUGGAGCCGGGGUGGCUGGCCACCUUGGCCUGGGCAUCUUUGGGGUGGGCUUCGGGAGCCCGGCACUGCUGCAGAGUGUGGUGGAUGAGAACAGCUGCUGCUUGCUGUACGUGGUGGAGGACCAGCUGUGUGAUGUGGAGCAAGCCUUCAGAGCUGAGCAUUUGGGCCAACACCAGAGUGGUUCGGGAACAGGAUGCAGACAUUGUCCUCAACGACCAGCGGCACUUUGAUCCGGUUUUCCAGUUCUUGCACAAGCAAGUUUGUGUCAGCCACGCCCUGGGGAGGAUCCACUGGAUCACCGCCGUCACUGCCUGUUCCCGGCGGCCUCUCCGGCUUCCCUAAAGAGAGCAGGUGGGACUUUCUACAACGCUGCUGUGCACGACGUGGAUGCCGUAUGCAUGUUGCUGGGGGAAGCCACUCCGGACACUGUGUUUUCUCUGGGACAUGUCUUCUGCCCAGAUAUGGCCGCCUUAAAAGAUGCAGAUGCUGUUGUGAUCAGCAUGAAGUUUCCCUGUGAGGCCGUGGUUAGCGUGGACAUCAGCCAGCACUGCACAGACAGCUGCGACCAGGACGUCAGCCAGCACUGCACAGACAGCUGCGACCAGAGACUGGAGGGAAAUAACCUCCUGAAAUCACCAAAGAGCAGUUCCUCAGGGCCUUCCGGGUGACCGUGGCCGUGGAGCAGUCGUGGUGAAACCGGUCAGCUGUGGACCUGCCCUGCGAAUCGGCAGAGGCCUCCGUGGUGAAGACAGAAGCUCCGUGAACCAACUCGAGGCUGGAGCCAAGAUCCUGCCUGAUAUCCAGUUGCCUGUUUCACUUGUUACUGUUACUGGGAGAGGGAGACAAAACCUCAUGGCAAUCUUGUCCUCACUGGAGACUCAGAAGGGGAAGCAUUGGGAAACCAUGUAUGUUUCAUUUCUGGUUUAACCAGGCUUUUCAGGAUGGGACUUCAGACCAAGGACACAAGUUGGGCUUGCUUAGGUGUUUUGUGUUGUGCGCAGGCCUCAGAGAUGCUCUUCCGGUCAGAGUUCCCUUGGCAGGGCCUUGGAGGCCUCUGGUUGGCUCUCUCAGGAAGAGGGCAGGUCAGGGAUUGGGCGGUGUAAAUUGACUCAGAAACCUGCGGUUUCAGCUUUUCUGUGGCAAACAGGGCCGAGGGCUGGUGAAGCUGUUAAGGCUAAAUGUCGCAUGCAUGAGGCGGGCUGCAGGCCUCCUUAGGCCUUUUUUGGGGUAAUUACACCAGUAUUUAAAAACAUUUUUUUUUGUUUGUUUUGAGAUGGAGUCUUGCCCUGUCACCCAGGCUGGAGUGCAAUGGUGCGAUCUCGGCUCACUGCAACCUCCGUCUCCCAGGUUCAAGCGAUUCUUCUGCCUCAGCCUUCUGAGUAGCUGGGAUUACACGCGUGUGCCACCACGCUCGGCUAAUUUUUGUAUUUUUAGUAGAGAUGGGAUUUCACCAUGUUGGCCAGGCUGGUCUCGAACUACUGACCUCGUGAUCCACCUGCCAUGGCCUCCCAAAGUGCUGGGAUUACAGGCGUGAGCCACCAUGCUCGGCCUAAAAAACAAUUUUCUUGAAGAAUCCGAUUUUGUGCAUAGUAAUGACACAGCACCAUUCCUGAGAAAUAGGAAAUAUAUGUGUGUGGUAUGAAAAGCCCAUAUUCUGUUCUUGUCACCUGAAUCUAGGCUUCCUCUUUGGAUGUGAACGCGGGAAUGAACAGUGGCUGUUUUCCACCCAAAGGGGCGUGGAGACCUUUUGGAAACGGGCUUUCUCCUUUCCAUUUUGCAGCCGGGGGCGGGUGGAAACCUUCCUUCGAAGGGUAGUGCCUUGGGGAGCAGCAGACCUGCUCUGAGUCCAGCUUAGCUUUCCAAAAUUCUGUGUGGAACUUACUGGAGAUGUUUUUAUAUAUUUGAAAAUAAUGGCCUGUAUUUCUCACGCUAUACUUAAAAAAAAUAACUAACCUUUUAAACAAAGAUAUUCAAACUCA
Long non-coding RNA from Homo sapiens (human), 3525 nucleotides. Ensembl annotates it as Gfo/Idh/MocA-like oxidoreductase domain containing 3, pseudogene. Its record names the gene GFOD3P. The record is from Ensembl. NCBI's taxonomy places the organism in Eukaryota, Metazoa, Chordata, Mammalia, Primates, Hominidae.